GGGAGGUAGUGACAAUAAAUAACAAUACAGGGUCCUUUCGGGUCUUGUAAUUGGAAUGAGUACAAUUUAAAUCUCUUAACGAGGAACAAUUGGAGGGCAAGUCUGGUGCCAGCAGCCGCGGUAAUUCCAGCUCCAAUAGCGUAUAUUAAAGUUGUUGCAGUUAAAAAGCUCGUAGUUGAAUUUCGGGAUCAAUACGUCGGUCGUGCUUUCGGGUACGUACUGGCGUCAUUGGUUUCUCCUUUCUGACGAACCAUGAUGUCAUUAAUUUGGUGUUAUGGGGAGUUAGGACUGUUACUUUGAAAAAUUAGAGUGUUUAAAGCAGGCAUUAGCUUGAAUACAUUAGCAUGGAAUAAUGAAAUAGGACGUUCGAUCCUAUUUUGUUGGUUUCUAGGAUUGACGUAAUGAUUAAUAGGGAUAGUUGGG
This 423-nucleotide ribosomal RNA is filed under the name uncultured Glomeraceae. RNAcentral's name for it is "SSU rRNA". It matches the Rfam family "Eukaryotic small subunit ribosomal RNA", at positions 459 to 886 of the family's 1831-position model. Lineage: Eukaryota; Fungi; Glomeromycota; Glomeromycetes; Glomerales; Glomeraceae. The record is from RNAcentral.